AAUAAGUGCAGCCGUGAGUUUCCGUGUCCAAAUUUGAUCGUCCGUCUUAUUUAAAUUUUUUAUAAUUAUUAUUUUUAUUGUUAUUAGAUUAUAAGAUAUGAAUAGUACUUUACGUGUGACUUAUGUUUUUAUUUUUUUCAAAAAAAAAAUUUAAAUAAGACGAACGAUUAAAGUUGGACAUGAAAACACAUGGCUGAGCUAAUU
Molecule: non-coding RNA, 204 nt
Organism: Oryza barthii
Lineage: Eukaryota; Viridiplantae; Streptophyta; Magnoliopsida; Poales; Poaceae
Source: Rfam